AAGAUUAUUUUCUGGACAUUUCUCUUUUGUAAUAGCUUUAAUGCUUAUAUUACUAAUAUGUCUUCACACUGAAUGAACUAGCAGUACUUUUAUAUCAUUACAUGAAACCCCUUCUGAUCAUCACUGAUAAAACUUUUAUUUCUCUGAAUCAGAUCUGUCACAUUGUGUUUAUUUUCAUAUUUCUGCUCUUGCUCUUUUACUUUAUUCUGUUAUGGUUGAUUUCUUUCAUUUACAGGUCUGUUUAGAUGUUUUCUCUGUUUGAAGAUCUUGAUCUGUUUCUCAGUUUUGUAGUGUCUCUUGUUUUGCUGUCAGUGGUUUGGCUUCAAUUUGCAGUUGACUUUUAACACAUAUAACCACAUGCAUGCAUUAUUCUUCACAAGAUAUUUGCAUCAUAGAAGACUGUUAAACAUGCCCUUCUUUAGACAUUGUAAAUGGGGUCAUUGCUGAAUUUGUUUUCUGAGUUAAAUGUGAAAAUAAAACGCUUUAAAAUGAAACGGUACUUGCAGAAACCAAAUUAUUUUUACCAAAUAAUUUCAGCUGUAACUCGUUUCCUUCUGCAGAUGUCGCUCAUAACAAAGAAAAUGUGUUUGGUAGCAAACUUUAAGUCCAUAUAGUAUAGAAUUAUAUUAUUCCCUGAUUUGAGUUUUAAAAAAGUUUAUUUGCAGUUAAACUUGAUCUCUGUUACAAAACUAUGUGGUUAAAACAUAAAACUGUGUCACAUGCAGAAUAGUUUGAUGACAGUCACUGUUCUUGAAGCAAAUAUUGUAUUUCCAGCAAAAUCCACCCCCGACAUCUGAAAAUAUGGAUUAUUUUCAGGUGUAGUGAAGUGAAUCAAGAAAAUAAGAACAGAAAUAAAAGAGCACAAACAUUACACUUUAAUGUACUGAGAUGAAUUAAUGAAUGAAUAAUUUGUUAAUUUUAACUGAAAAAAAAACAUCCUUAAUGUAGCUUUAAUGAUAAGUUAAGUUCAGAUAAAUCAGAUUAAGCUCAUUUCAGUCCUGUUGUUCUGAAUGAAAUGAGAUCAGAUGGCUGUGAAAGAGUGUAGUUGUAGUUUACUCCUGCAG
Long non-coding RNA from Cyprinus carpio carpio, 1064 nucleotides. The record is from Ensembl. Lineage: Eukaryota; Metazoa; Chordata; Actinopteri; Cypriniformes; Cyprinidae.